UGACGGAAAUUAAUGGUCAAGUUGGGGGAAGGACAGAGAGGGAGAGCAAGGAAAGAAAUACCUUGGUAGAGGGGGCCAUAAUGGAAUUAUCAGAAACCUGACACAAGGGAAAUGCCCAGGAAUACAUAAGGAUGACCCCAGACAAAAGUCUAUGCAUUAGUGGAGAGGGAUGCCUUAACUGGCCUUCCUCUGAAAUAAAAUUGAGGACUACUGUAAUUGCUAUCAUAGAAUCUUCAUCCAGGAACUGAUGGAAGCAGAUGCAGAGAUCCACAACUAACUACUAGGCCAAGCUCCUGGAGUCCAGACGAAGCGGAGGAGCGAUAAUAUGAGCAAAGGGAUCAAGACCAUCAUGGCCUGAGCCAAUAGGAGCUCACCGACUCUGGACUGACAGCUGGUGAACCUGCAAAGGACCUAACUAGGCCCACUUGAAUGCAGGUGACAUUGGAUGACUUGGGCAGUGUAUGGGGUCACUGGCAGUGGACAGUGCAUGAACUGGCUUUUUGGAGCCCAUUUCUGAAGGAUGGAUACCUUGCUCAGCUUAGACACAGUGGAAAGGGCCUUGGUCCUGCCUCAACGUGGUGAUGGGACAGACUUCAUUGACUCCCUAUGGGAGACAUUACCCUCUCUGAGGAGCAGACAGGGAUGGGGUGGGAGGAAGGCUGGGGGGAGCAAGAGGAAGAGGGUAGUGAGAUUGGUAUGUAAAAUUUUGAAACUUGAAAAAAAGACCUUCAAUUUUAUAUAUCAGAUAACUGCCUUAUGACAGAAAUGUUGUAGCAGUACUGGAGAAGGCAAGAUGAAAGACCAGAAAUUGACAAACAAAUCACAAAGACUUGAUACCCUGAUUAUCUGAUUUAUCAUUUGUCCAUAAGUUAUUAUAAAUUUAUGCAUGUGAAGAAUAUACUAGAUUUAUAAGAGGAAAAUAAGCGAGUGAUGACAGAAAAGAAAGAUGAGGGAGAAAUAGUAAAUGAAUCUCCCUCUUUUGCCUAUGAUUUCUAACAUUGGGAGGCCAGUCUAUUAUUCACAGUAUAUUUGUGGUGUUUUCUUCUCAGAGGCAUGCUUACACGUAUGAGUGUACCACUGUGUGUUGUUCUAAAGAACAACCAGACACCACUGCUGGAGAAAUUAAGGAAGCCUGACUAUUUCUACUUGACCAACUUCUUAUAUAAAAUAUUUGUGUUAAUUUGUUUUGUGUUAUGAGUGUAAGUGUUUUGCUUGCAUGUAUGUUUGUGUAUUCCAUGUGACCCUGCUUGGUACGUAUGGAAUUAAGAUGUGGAAGUCAGUUCCCUGUAACAGCAUUACAGAAAGUUUUAUUCCAAAAUAUUGGUUCUGGGAAUUGAACCAAUGGUCUCUGCCAGAAUAACAAAAGCUCUUAACCACUGAAGCAUAGAUACUGAAUAGAAUCCGGCUAAGUGAUCCAGAACUACUUCUUGAUAUAAUUGUUGACAUGUCUUCUUUGGAAAGAAAACAACUUCAGUCUAUACUUUUUUAUUUGCUUCAGUGUCAUCAGAACUAGGUUCUUUAAUGCAUUUUAAGAGGUUCCUCCCUUGUGUCUCAAAGUUUCUUGAGCUAUUAAUCACAGGGUUGAUGGUUUUGAGUCUUUUCUGAUUUGAACCCGGAGUAGCACUUACAGACUUCUUCAGUAGCUUUUUCCCCCUAUUAACUUCAGUUUUAUCAUCAUUGUCAUCAAUAUAAGCAUUUUGUAAUCUUCACCUAGAUUUACACACUUCAAUAGAACCUUCUUACCUCUUCUGGGGACAUAGCACAUUCCAGACAGAACUAAGCAUUUUUACCUACCCCACAUAUUAGUCUGCGGAUUCUGCCUUUUACUCCAUAGCUGCUAGGUGCUGUCCACUCCUACACACAGGCCCUGCAAAAGAAUUCAACCUGAAGAGGGCAGGUAACACACUCUCAAAGACCAAAGUGAAAACUGAUUAUUCAGAAAUGUUGAUAUUUGGAAGGUUUUCUGAAAUUUGGUUUUCUUCAGAAUUCAUUGUUCUGCCAUAGCAAUACAUAAUUCAUCUUUUGCCCCAUGUUCUAAAUCAACCAUUCUUAAGAACAAGUGAUACUGAUUGUCAUUAUUAUCACUCUAAGUGGGUCAUGUCCUAGACCAUCUCAUUUUCUAUGAGGUGAAGGUUCCAACUUCCAUAUGUGAGGAGCUUGGAGGAGCUAACUUCUGGCUUCUCUUCAGAACAUACACACUGGACAGAGUGACAAAAGAGUUUCUGUUGUUUUUUAAAAACCAUGUAUUUGAUCCUGAAAGAAUCAUGAGAGACAUCACUAUCACCAAAGAUACCAGGACCCUGAUGAUAAGAUAUUCUGUGUGCAUUAUCAUACUUCACAAUAGUUCACUCAGCAAAUAUUAUAAAUUACUUUGUCUAUCCAAAGAAUUUAGAUACUUAAGAAAUAACAAGGUGGAAUCAUUUAUUUUUGAGAACGAAUUUUAGACUGUUUUCUCAUUUAGAUGUACUUUCAAUUUUCUUAAUUUGUAUUCAUUCAUUUAUUCAUGAUUUUAUAUUGGUGGGCAGCAUACAUGCCAGAAAGCAUGUGUGGAAAUUAGAAAAAAAAUGAGGGACUCAGUUCUCUGUUUCCACAAUGCAAGUCCUGUUAAUUGAACUCAGGUCUGUUGAAAAAAAUGCUUAUGAACAAGUCCUUUUGUAUUCUGAACCAUCUUAGUUGACCCAUUUGAGAUAUUUUACAUCACUUAUUGUCCUUCAAAAUGGGCAUCUGCAUGUGUGAGUGUGGGAAUGUGUGUAAAAUGUGUGACAGUGAGUUUUCUCAUCAGUCAUCUAGUAAUGGUUUACUUGAAACUUGAAGUGCAAAGACCCAACUUUAAUCUAAAUCUUUUGAGACGGGAUAUCCACCUUAAGCCAAGGUGACAGUUUCUGAUGGUAGCUCACCUAAAGGACAUGGAGUAGUACAGUUCUUGCUCUUUGCCUGCUUUUCCUUACUGGACAACUCAUUCAUUCACGGGCAUUGGAGCCUACUACUGUGAGAUACAUAUACUGAAGACAAGCAGACAUAUCCAGCUUCAUAUACUUAACAACCAGUGGAUAGGUGAGUUUUGUGUCAUUGGGAGACAGUCAUUGUUGAUUUAGCUUGAUUACAGAUAUUUCUCCCCCAGUUUUCCUAAAUCUAACAUGUCAGCAUUGCUGUGUGGUUCUACCCAUUGUCACAGGGCCAGAAACCAUGCACUGUGACUGAUUGUUUUUUUUUUUUGUAAAGGUCUCUGAGUUUUGCAAUGAAAUUUUUUCCUUUAAAAUAGGUAAGAACUACACUUAUCUGAAGGUAGAAAGACAAAUAUUUAUAAUGUAGUAAGGAAUUAUGCAGGCUUAUUAGAAUGGUAGUUGUGUGUUCUGGUCAAAAUUCAUGACUUCCCUAGUCCUGGGCAGGUUUGUUUUGUGAGCCAACUGGAUAACCUUGACCAACUACUCAAAAUAAUUGUCCCCUCCCCUGUUGGAAUUUUUACUAGUUGGUAUUUGGAUAUAUGGUUGCCUAAAGAAGCUCUCUGCUCUGACAUGACAGCCUCAUAUACCAAAGUGGAUGGGAUAAUUUCAAAGACCUAAUUAAUGAAUGAAGAGCUGUGGGAAAUCAAUGACUUCUAAAAUAGGGUGAAUGAGUUUGUACCGGGGCUAAUCCCCAGGUGAUUAGUCCUGAACCCAAGAAUAUAUUAUUCUAUAUGUAAUAUUAUAUGCAUAAGUUACAUUAUAAUUUUAAAAUAACUAAAUUUAAACUUGUAAAUUCCAAUUAUAAAAUAACAUGUUAAACAUUCAAACUUCAUGAAUUUCUAUAUAUUUCAGAAAGUUAAAAAAAAUGGGCUUGAGGCCUAAACAGAGAAUAAAGUUCUUAAGAGAAAAAAACAAAGGAUCAGAAUUACCUGGAAACUGUUCAUUGUUAGUAGUAAGUAGGGACAUGCAAAUCAAAGUAACUCUGAGACUUUAUCUUAAUUCAGGCAGCAAGGCAAAAAUCGCCAAAAAUGGGACAACACGUACUGUAAGAGUCUGGAGAAGAGGUAACCCACAUUGGAACUGGGAGCUCGUGAUGCCACUACAAAAAUCUGUGAGGAGAAUUCACAAAAUUUAGUAAUAAAAAUAACCUUAUGACUUGUGA
Long non-coding RNA from Mesocricetus auratus (golden hamster), 4107 nucleotides. RefSeq lists it as uncharacterized. The record is from RefSeq and is a predicted model, not a curated record. The transcript is spliced from 2 exons. Lineage: Eukaryota; Metazoa; Chordata; Mammalia; Rodentia; Cricetidae.